This is a long non-coding RNA of Limulus polyphemus (Atlantic horseshoe crab), 1037 nucleotides long. RefSeq lists it as uncharacterized. The record is from RefSeq and is a predicted model, not a curated record. The transcript is spliced from 3 exons. NCBI's taxonomy places the organism in Eukaryota, Metazoa, Arthropoda, Merostomata, Xiphosura, Limulidae.
CAGCAGUUCAAGACUAAGAAAAGAAAAGCUGCAGGCAAGUACUGUCACUUAGAGCAGGAUUAAGCAAAACUGUCCAAGACCUUCUGCAAGAUUGUCAAAUACCUAUGUAUAAAUGAUCACCAAUUGGAGAGUUGAUAAUACAUGGUUGAAAUUGAAGGAACUGCUACAAAUCAGUAGGAGCUACAAGCUGGUUCCUUAAUCUACAUUCUUGAGGGCGGAUAUCCAGGAAAUUUGCCCUCCUACAAUGCAAUGUCUUCAUACCAACAGAGGCAAAGAGGUAAACAUAUAGCACAAUGAAGGGAAAAUCCCAUUCAUUCUGUACACUUGCCCACUGUCUAGACUCAUAAUCGUAGUGACUACUUGUGUAGAACUUUUGUUGUUCCAAACCUGUAGAUAUGGUGAAAAGUUGUUGUGUAUUCAGUUAUACCAAUAACAAGUCAAAAAGACCUGAACUUUCCUUCUAUUUGAUAACCAGUCAAGCUACUGAAAAUAAUAGAGGCUGAGGUCAGCCUGGUCCACUGUUGAGAAGAAAAAUCAAUGACAAAAUACUCCAACAAAUGGGCCUUAACAGAGCCAGGCAGGGAUCUAUAAAUCCAAAUACCAAAAUUUGAAUGAAUGAACAAAAGAAGUGUUGAGGUUGAAAGCUAUCAACUGCGAAACAAAGGAAGCAAGAGGAAAUCUGUGGGAGCCAAAGUCUGACUAUAACUCUGUGUGUUAAGCUCAUUUUAUAACAUGUAAAUGUUAUCUUCUAAUUUUUUUUAACACAAGUUAAUUGUACAUGUCUGGACACUGCACACUGGGCUAUUCUGUUGGUAGAGUGCUGGUAGGGAUAAGAAUCAAGCCCAAUUAAUUGCAACUUUACUCGAUAUCUCACUAAUACCUCAGCCAACAAGUUCUCCAUGUAUUGAUAAGACAUUGCAAUUGAUAAUUUGACUUUCAAACAAUAAUAUAUAUGAACGAUAAUUUAAGAAUUUGCACAGCAGCUUCAGCAGUAACACAUGUAUAUGUAGAUCUAUAUAAAUUGUAUACACGCUUUA